Non-coding RNA from Acanthosepion pharaonis, 110 nucleotides. The record is from the annotation of a GenBank genome assembly. Lineage: Eukaryota; Metazoa; Mollusca; Cephalopoda; Sepiida; Sepiidae.
GUCACAUCACACUGAAAACACCAGUUCUCCUUUGACCACCAAAGUUAAACUGUGUCAAGCCUUGUCAGUACUUAUAUUGGAGACUGCUUGGGAAUACCAGGUACUGUAAG